GGUCUUGUGGUGCAAUGGUAGCAUAUCACACUUCUACGGAGAUCAUGUGAGGGUUGUGGGUUCGAGUCCCGCCAGGACCU
Molecule: transfer RNA, 80 nt
Filed under: Serendipita sp. 407
Lineage: Eukaryota; Fungi; Basidiomycota; Agaricomycetes; Sebacinales; Serendipitaceae
Also listed under: 7 other names
Description: tRNA-Arg
Rfam family: tRNA
About the family: Transfer RNA (tRNA) molecules are approximately 80 nucleotides in length.
Source: RNAcentral